GACGAACGCUGGCGGCGUGCUUAACACAUGCGAGUCGAGCGGUAAGGCCCUUUCGGGGGUACGACGAGCGGCGAACGGGUGAGUAACACGUGGGUGACCUGCCCUCAGCUCUGGGAUAAGCCUGGGAAACCGGGUCUAAUACUGGAUAUGACUCCAUGACGCAUGUUGUGGGGUGGAAAGCCUUGUGCGGCUGAGGAUGGGCCCGCGGCCUAUCAGCUUGUUGGUGGGGGGA
Molecule: ribosomal RNA, 232 nt
Filed under: uncultured bacterium
Lineage: Bacteria
Description: partial 16S ribosomal RNA
Rfam family: Bacterial small subunit ribosomal RNA
Source: RNAcentral